UGACUAAACCUGUUCACCACCUCCUGUGAAGACGUCCUGUUCUCACACAUUGAGUUUUUUCAAUGUAGUGAACAAGGAGCCUAUAUGACAACCUGGAGGAUUAUUAUGAUGCUUAUUUACGCCGCUGCAGUCAGCAGCAAAGAAGCAGAGAUUCUUCCCGUGAACCUCGGAGAGAAUGUUUGCAUGCCAUGUCAUGGACCUGCAAAAGCACAAAUCGUGUUGGUGGAGUGGACCAGACCAGACCUGGAGUCACCUGAGUAUGUAUUUUUCUUCCGGGAUGAGCGAUCCUACACGUCCUACCAGCACUGGUCCUUUGUGGGUCGGGUGGAGCUGAAGGAUAAAGAGAUGAAGAAUGGAGACGUGUCCCUAAUUCUGAGCAGCGUGAGAAUCAGUGACGUCGGUGUGUAUGAGUGUCGGAUCUCACAAGGAAAGACAAGGUCAAAGAGAGCCAACAUCAAGAUGGAGCCGAUCCAAGUCAUCAGCCUGAAGGUGGAGGAGGAAGGCGCUAAAACCAACGUCUGGCACAUCGGAGCUGCGGCGAGUCUCAUCCUGUCUGCUGUGGUCGUGAUACUUGUUGCUGUGAUCUUCAAAAAACGGAGGACAGGGCUCUGCAGGAUCACGGAUCCACCUCAACACAGAGACAAACCACAGCAUUUCAUCGUGUCCACACAGACGCAUCAGCACUAACUCCACAGUCUGAUCUCACCUGAGACACUGAUGCUGAUGAUAGAUCCAAACUUGGACUCGCACCAGUAAACUCCACUGUCCUGUGGGUCCAAGUCGAGGAUGGUGCAUGUAGAACCUCCCCACUC
Molecule: long non-coding RNA, 812 nt
Filed under: Betta splendens (Siamese fighting fish)
Lineage: Eukaryota; Metazoa; Chordata; Actinopteri; Anabantiformes; Osphronemidae
Description: lncRNA (ENSBSLG00000023752.1)
Source: RNAcentral